CAUACAAAACCCCGCCCCCCUUCCAAACACAGCCCCAACUCUCUCUCCCCUGCUGGCUCAACUCCUCACUCUCUCUUCUCCUCGACACCCAUGGAUUCUCUCACCCUCUUCUGCACCACUUUCCUCCUCGCCGGCGGCCUCUACUGGUUCGUCUGCGUUCUGGGCUCCGCAGAACAGAAAGGGAAGCAUGCCGCCCAACUCUCCGGCGGCUCCAUCGACAAGAGAAAGUCCAAGACAACUACAACAGUACUGGUCCUUCUUCGGCCGCCCCAAGGAGAUCGAGACCGCCGAGAAAGUCCCCGCUUUCGUCGACACCUUCUACAACCUUGUCACUGACAUUUACGAGUGGGGUUGGGGUCAGUCCUUCCAUUUCUCUCCCUCCAUCCCCAAGUCCUACCGGGACGCCACCAGAAUCCACGAGGAAAUGGCCGUCGAUCUCUUGGGUGUCAAGAAGGGUGCCCGCAUUCUUGAUGCCGGCUGUGGUGUCGGCGGCCCGAUGCGUGCCAUCGCCGCUCAUUCCGGUGCCAACGUCGUCGGCAUCACCAUUAACGAGUACCAGGUAAACCGAGCCCGGAUGCACAAUGAGAAAGCCGGCCUCGAUUCUCUGUGCGAAGUUGUCUGUGGCAACUUCCUGCAAAUGCCCUUCCCCGACAGCAGCUUCGACGGGGCUUACUCCAUCGAAGCCACCUGCCAUGCACCCAAUCUGGAGGAAGUCUACAGCGAGAUCUACCGAGUUUUGAAGCCCGGAUCCCUGUACGUCUCCUACGAAUGGGUCACCACCGAAUUCUACAACCCGGAAAAUCCGGAGCACGUCGAGAUAAUCCAUGGGAUUGAGAGGGGCGAUGCUCUUCCGGGGUUGAGGAGUUACAGGGACAUUGCCCAGAUAGCCAAGAAGGUGGGAUUCGAGGUGGUCAAGGAGAAAGAUUUAGCGAAGCCCCCCCAAGCCCUGGUGGACCCGGCUCAAGAUGGGCAGGAUUGCUUAUUGGAGGAACCACAUUUUGGUGACGGUUCUUACCUGGCUCGGGAUUGCCCCCAAAGGCGUGGUUGACGUCCACGAGAUGUUGUUUGUCACCGCAGAUUAUCUCACCAGAGGUGGUGAGACCGGGAUUUUCACUCCUAUGCAUAUGGUUCUCUGCAGAAAGCCUGAACAUAGCAAUUCUUCUGAUUAGAACGACUACCAAGAAGAAGAAGAUGCUGCUGCCGUUGCCGGUGCCUGUUCCAUGUAAUGCUAUCAGAUUAAUCAUGGAGGUCAAUUCCGGUGCACCUCGUUGUCUUUUGUUUCUUUUUUUCCCCUUCUUUUCCUAAUUAUCCAUGUUUAAUUUUGCUGUUUCAGGUUUAAUUUAACGUCAUUUUUCUUUAUUAUUAACUUAAUCUUGGAUAGCAAAAGAUCGGAACCAUCUCUCUGUCUCUCGUUGUGUUGUUGUUGUUUUUUUUUUUUUGGUCCUUUCGUUUAUUGGAACCAUCUUUUUAGUUGUAGUAGUAUAAGAGAAAUUUAAUCUGGAAAUCGAUUAAUAUUUUUCCUUUUUUUUUU
Coffea arabica (coffee) is the source of this 1531-nucleotide non-coding RNA. The record is from RefSeq and is a predicted model, not a curated record. NCBI's taxonomy places the organism in Eukaryota, Viridiplantae, Streptophyta, Magnoliopsida, Gentianales, Rubiaceae.